UCAGCAUCCCCACAGAGGCAAGCACUGGACAGAAUUGGAUGGACUUUGUUUUCAAGCCAGCAAAAGCCAAAUAAGGCAGUGUACGUUUGUUCACGCCACUUCACAGAGUGCUGUUUACUAAUCAAGUCAAAGUACGAAGCUGGCUACGGAUGGUGCCGUUCCAUCAAUACAAGGUUGUGUGGGGGACUCGAAGCACAAGCCUAUAUCACAACAUAUGCCUUCAACUGCAAAGCUUCCUGAAAAAGAAGAGACAAUGCAUUGCAAAUCCUGUGGAAAGGAAGCAAAAAAAUUCAAGUGUGUCAAUGACGUGAUGGGGCCUCUGAGGAGGUGUUGGAGGAGCCCUGCAGAUACACAGAUGAGCUCAAACAAAUCCCCAUCCCAGAAAACCUCUGUGCCCAGUUCCAGAGACCGUCAAAGGAAAAGGUCAUUACGAAAAAAGACAACGUAUCUGGCAUACAACACAAGACAGGAUGACGAUUCUCAUACGUCUUCCCAGAUUUCGCUGAAUCCAGUGUGGAAAUUCACAGAUGAAGACAAGUAUGACCUGUGAAUCGUGUUAGGGGUUUGCAGUAAAAGUAGCCUGUUUGAGUAGUACUUUACAUUUAAGCAGUAAUUGGGUUAUAUAAUUAUAGAACAGAUUUGUGAUAAUGUAACUGCAGUUACUACGUGCAGCUACUAUGUGCACUAACAUUCACCACCUGAUAGAAAGUGCUGAUAUUUUCUCAUUCAGCAUUUUUCAAACCUUCGAAAUUUUUAACACCUUUUGGACUUCUGCAGUUUUUUGGGUGAAAAUAAUGCAAAAGUAGUGUUAUGCAUUACUCUGUACAGGAAGUAAUAUUGUAAAGAAACUUCCCUUUAAAUUGACAGUUACUAGUGUUAUGUACUGCAUAAUAUUUUGGAAGUUAG
Long non-coding RNA from Plectropomus leopardus (leopard coralgrouper), 906 nucleotides. RefSeq lists it as uncharacterized. The record is from RefSeq and is a predicted model, not a curated record. Lineage: Eukaryota; Metazoa; Chordata; Actinopteri; Perciformes; Serranidae.